UACGGGGGGGGCAAGCGUUGUUCGGAAUUACUGGGCGUAAAGGGCUCGUAGGCGGCCAACUAAGUCAGACGUGAAAUCCCCGGGCUUAACCUGGGAACUGCAUUUGUGACUGCAUGGCUGGAGUGCGGCAGAGGGGGGUGGAAUUCCGCGUGUAGCAGUGAAAUGCGUAGAGAUGCGGAGGAACACCGAUGGCGAAGGCAGCCCCCUGGGCCAACACUGACGCUCAGGCACGAAAGCGUGGGGAGCAAACAGG
Molecule: ribosomal RNA, 253 nt
Filed under: uncultured bacterium
Lineage: Bacteria
Description: partial 16S ribosomal RNA
Rfam family: Bacterial small subunit ribosomal RNA
Source: RNAcentral